AGAACGAACGCUGGCGGCAGGCUUAACACAUGCAAGUCGAACGCCCCGCAAGGGGAGUGGCAGACGGGUGAGUAACGCGUGGGAAUCUACCCAGUUCUACGGAAUAACACAGGGAAACUUGUGCUAAUACCGUAUACGCCCUACGGGGGAAAGAUUUAUCGGGAUUGGAUGAGCCCGCGUUGGAUUAGCUAGUUGGUGGGGUAAUGGCCUACCAAGGCGACGAUCCAUAGCUGGUCUGAGAGGAUGAUCAGCCACACUGGGACUGAGACACGGCCCAGACUCCUACGGGAGGCAGCAGUGGGGAAUAUUGGACAAUGGGCGCAAGCCUGAUCCAGCCAUGCCGCGUGAGUGAUGAAGGCCUUAGGGUUGUAAAGCUCUUUCAGUGGGGAAGAUAAUGACGGUACCCACAGAAGAACGCCCCGGCUAACUUCGUGCCAGCAGCCGC
This 445-nucleotide ribosomal RNA is filed under the name uncultured bacterium. RNAcentral describes it as "SSU rRNA". It matches the Rfam family "Bacterial small subunit ribosomal RNA", at positions 26 to 518 of the family's 1533-position model. The record is from RNAcentral.